GAAAUAUAAAAAACCCGACUGUUUUCCGGGUUUUUGUCAGGUAGUUGAUCACCUCAGAUGAAGGUGAAACGUGCCGUUGGGGGCGUCAUGACAUGAGCCACUGAAGCACGAGUAGGGGAAGUAGACCCUUCAUUCACUGGCCUAUACACGGGGGUUAUUUACCUCAAAAGCCCCGGAGCUGGGCUGGACUGCUCCGGGGCUUUUUC
This is a small RNA of Yersinia pestis CO92, 206 nucleotides long. It matches the Rfam family "sR035 sRNA". From Rfam's summary of the family: Temperature-dependent expression pattern. Lineage: Bacteria; Pseudomonadati; Pseudomonadota; Gammaproteobacteria; Enterobacterales; Yersiniaceae. The record is from Rfam.